UAGGGGAUCUUCCGCAAUGGACGAAAGUCUGACGGAGCAACGCCGCGUGAGUGAAGAAGGAUUUCGGUUCGUAAAACUCUGUUGUUAGGGAAGAAAAAAUGUAUAGUAACUAUAUACAAAAGAGACGGUACCUAACCAGAAAGUCACGGCUAACUACGUGCCAGCAGCCGCGGUAAUACGUAGGUGGCAAGCGUUGUCCGGAAUUAUUGGGCGUAAAGCGCGCGCAGGUGGUUUAGAAAGUCUGAUGUGAAAGCCCACGGCUCAACCGUGGAGGGUCAUUGGAAACUAAUAAACUUGAGUGCAGGAGAGAAAAGUGGAAUUCCUAGUGUAGCGGUGAAAUGCGUAGAGAUUAGGAGGAACACCGGUGGCGAAAGCGGCUUUUUGGCCUGCAACUGACACUGAGGCGCGAAAGCGUGGGGAGCAAACAGG
Molecule: ribosomal RNA, 429 nt
Filed under: Verrucomicrobiota bacterium
Lineage: Bacteria; Pseudomonadati; Verrucomicrobiota
Description: Verrucomicrobia bacterium partial 16S ribosomal RNA
Rfam family: Bacterial small subunit ribosomal RNA
Source: RNAcentral